CAAAAAUGUCGGUUAUUGAUUUGGGGAUGCUCGGCGGCGGACGGGCGGUCGGGCGGUCGGGCGGGCGGCAAUCAAAUGUUGUCCGUGUAUUAACUCAUGAACCGUUCAACCAAAGCUUUUAAUAUGUUGUUACUGACAUCUAAAUGAAGGUCAAGGUCAAUAAUGGCGAUUUUGACUUUUACCGUUCAGGAGUUAUGGUUCUUGAAAGAUUGAAAAAUGGAGUUUCCAGGCGUGUCCGUGCAUUUACGCAUGAACCGUUCUACCACAGCUUUCCAAAUUUUAAUAUGUUGUUACUGGUGACAAAAUGGAGGUCAAGUUCAAUAACGACGAUUUUGACUUUUACCGUUCAGGAGUUAUGGUUCUUGAAAGAUUGAAAAAUGGUGUUUCCAGUCGUGUC
This 397-nucleotide long non-coding RNA is filed under the name Mytilus galloprovincialis (Mediterranean mussel). Lineage: Eukaryota; Metazoa; Mollusca; Bivalvia; Mytilida; Mytilidae. The record is from RNAcentral.